GAUGAACGCUGGCGGUAUGCUUUACACAUGCAAGUCGUACGAGAGUUUUUAACUUAAGUGGCGGACGGGUGAGUAACACGUAAGAAUUUGCCUUUAGGAGGGGGAUAACAACUGGAAACGGUUGCUAAUACCCCAUAUGCUUUCGAGUGAAAUGGAUUUUUUCGCCUAGAGAGAAGCUUGCGGCUGAUUAGCUUGUUGGUAAGGUAAUGGCUUACCAAGGCGACGAUCAGUAUCUGGUUUGAGAGGAUGAUCAGACACACUGGAACUGAGACACGGUCCAGACUCCUACGGGAGGCAGCAGUGGGGAAUUUUCCGCAAUGGGCGAAAGCCUGACGGAGCAAUACCGCGUGAGGGAUGAGGGCCUAUGGGUUGUAAACCUCUUUUUUCAGGGAGGAAAAAAAUGACG
This 406-nucleotide ribosomal RNA is filed under the name uncultured bacterium. RNAcentral's name for it is "partial 16S ribosomal RNA". It matches the Rfam family "Bacterial small subunit ribosomal RNA", at positions 28 to 474 of the family's 1533-position model. The record is from RNAcentral.